GUGAAUCAUCGAAUUUUUGAACGCAAAUUGCACUCCCUGGUAUUCCGGGGCGUGUGCCUGUUUCAGGGUCGUUAGAAGAAAAAUCGAAGCAUCGCUCUUUUUUUGAGGGUUUUCGCGUCGGAAUUGAGCCGUCUUUCAAAUGUUAAUUCAUGUCAAAGUGGCUUUAAAUUCAUCCAUUCGGUACGAUUACAGCGUAUUUAAGAUCAAUUUUGAUUAAGAACGCGCGAUGACGUACCAUCACAUGUAGUACGUUUGACCUGGGUCAUCAUGUUCGUUCGUA
RNAcentral lists this unclassified non-coding RNA (280 nucleotides) under Funneliformis mosseae. Its description in RNAcentral is "partial contains 5.8S ribosomal RNA and internal transcribed spacer 2". The stretch from base 1 to 71 matches the Rfam family "5.8S ribosomal RNA", at positions 84 to 154 of the family's 154-position model. Lineage: Eukaryota; Fungi; Glomeromycota; Glomeromycetes; Glomerales; Glomeraceae. The record is from RNAcentral.